GCCCGCGUCCGUCUGUCCGUCGUAAAUAUGGUACAGCAUAUUAUCAUUAAACUGAACAUGGUUGUUUUUUUUCAGUCAUGAUGGUCAAACGAUCUGUAUCAUUUUUGGUGAACUUUAUGAGUUACAGGACUUUGUAACUAGAACAGUUUUUUUUUACAGUUCGCGCUGUAUCUAGAAAACGUUUUAUGACUAUUGCUCAAAACUUUACACACUUCUUAGUUAUAUAAUUCUGAAGAAUUUGUAUAUACUUUUGAGAAUGAUUCAGAAUUUGAUUUUAGAGUUAUUGAGUUUAUGACAAAAAGGGGGUGGGGGUUCACAUGUCGCGCCGUAUCUCAGAAACUAUCUAUAAUUAUUGCAUAAAACUUCACAUACUUUUUAGUUAAAUUAUUCUUAAGAUCUGUAUACUUUGGUGAUGAUUCUUUAAUUCAUUUUUGAGUUCUUGAAUUUUUAUUGAGCUUCAAUUUGGGGAUCAUAUAAAACAUGUUGUGAUAUAUAAACUUCCUAUUGAGCAAGAAUAAUGAAUGAGUCAGGAUAUACCUAGCAUGACUUCCCGUACAACCCCCGUGUUAUUUUAAAAACAUAUAUUAUGUUGGGUUUUUUUUCAUAAGACGAAGGGCGUAUCAUGCGCUCGAAGCGCAGCUGUUUAUUUUUUUCUUUAUUUUUUUUAUAGAUAUAUUAGAGAAAUGACGGAAUGACAGAAAAUACAAUGCAAUUUUCAAUAUAAUUAAUAUUUCCAAAUGGCAUAACUCUUUUAAAGAAUAGUUGAUAUGCACUGAUUUUCGAACGUGUCCAUACGAUAUCAGUUUUAUAGAAAGUUGGCAAGAAUUGUACACUUGAAAAAUCUAAUUAACCAGAAGUCCGGAAGGACAGACAGGGGAAUGGACAUGCGGUAUUUUAUGUACGCGCUGUGGUGAAAAAAAAUAUAUAGUUAUUUACCAAUAAAAUUACGCUAUGAGAGAAUGAUUUUAAUCGCAACUAAUCGUAAUAUAUCCAGUCCUCUCGCUAUUAAUUCAAUCGUUUUUUAGCCAAAUCAAAAAUUUCAAAAUUAUAGUUUCUCUGUCUGGACAAAAGCAUCCAUUAGCAAAUUGAAGAUUCUCCUUUGUAAGAUUUUGCUUCUGUUUUCUGACCACAUAAAACAGAAGAUGUGGUAUAAUUGCCAAUUAGACAACUCUCAACAAGAGACAAACAUGACACAGAAAUUAACAACUAUAGGUCACCGUACGGUCUUCAACAAUGAGCAAAGCCCAUACCGCAUAGUCAGCUAUAAAAGGUCCCGAAAUGACAAGGUAAAACAACUCAAACGAGAAAAGUAACGGCAUAAUUUAUGUGCUGCAAUUUAUGUACAAAAAAAAGAAGUUCCGUUUGCAGGAGAAUGCUGAGUUCACACGUAAUUCGAAUUAGUUUAAUUUGCAUUCGAAAUUAGUUUAAUUCGCAUUCGAAAUGUUUUACGUCCUAGCGUAAAUUCUAAUUCAAAUUGCAAUGCGCGUCAAAUUUGAUUACUGUCCAAUCGACGCUAACUUUUUUAAAAUUCGUAUCAACAAAAACGGAUUUUCUCAGUGAUAAAAACGUAAAUUAAAGGAUAUUAAGGAGUAUGUGUAAUGAAACAGCAGCCAACCAAACAAAACAAAACAAAGAACAACAUCUAGAGGUCAUCAUACAGUAUGAAAUAAUAUACGAGUGUGUACAGUAAAUGUACCUGUAUGUC
Molecule: long non-coding RNA, 1705 nt
Filed under: Mytilus galloprovincialis (Mediterranean mussel)
Lineage: Eukaryota; Metazoa; Mollusca; Bivalvia; Mytilida; Mytilidae
Source: RNAcentral